RNAcentral lists this ribosomal RNA (429 nucleotides) under Acidobacteriota bacterium. Its description in RNAcentral is "Acidobacteria bacterium partial 16S ribosomal RNA". It matches the Rfam family "Bacterial small subunit ribosomal RNA", at positions 355 to 776 of the family's 1533-position model. Lineage: Bacteria; Pseudomonadati; Acidobacteriota. The record is from RNAcentral.
UGGGGAAUUUUGGACAAUGGGGGAAACCCUGAUCCAGCCAUCCCGCGUGUGCGAUGAAGGCCUUCGGGUUGUAAAGCACUUUUGGCAGGAAAGAAACGUCAUGGGUUAAUACCCCGUGAAACUGACGGUUCCUGCAGAAUAAGCACCGGCUAACUACGUGCCAGCAGCCGCGGUAAUACGUAUAGUGCAAGCGUUAAUCGGAAUUACUGGGCGUAAAGCGUGCGCAGGCGGUUCGGAAAGAAAGAUGUGAAAUCCCAGAGCUCAACUUUGGAACUGCAUUUUUAACUACCGGGCUAGAGUGUGGCAGAGGGAGGUGGAAUUCCGCGUGUAGCAGUGAAAUGCGUAGAUAUGCGGAGGAACACCAAUGGCGAAGGCAGCCUCCUGGGAUAUCACUGACGCUCAUGCACGAAAGCGUGGGGAGCAAACAGG